CCUACGGGGGGCUGCAGUCGAGAAUUUUUCUCAAUGGGCGAAAGCCUGAAGGAGCGACGCCGCGUGGGGGAUGAAGGGCUUCGGUCCGUAAACCCCUGUCAUUUGCGAACAAACCUUACUCAUGAACAAUGAGUGAGCUGAUUGUAGCGAAAGAGGAAGGGACGGCUAACUCUGUGCCAGCAGCCGCGGUAAUACAGAGGUCCCGAGCGUUGUUCGGAUUCACUGGGCGUAAAGGGUGCGCAGGUGGUUUGGCAAGUUUGAUGUGAAAGCUUCGG
RNAcentral lists this ribosomal RNA (275 nucleotides) under uncultured bacterium. RNAcentral describes it as "partial 16S ribosomal RNA". It matches the Rfam family "Bacterial small subunit ribosomal RNA", at positions 338 to 606 of the family's 1533-position model. The record is from RNAcentral.